AAGACUAACUACUGCGAAAGCAUUUGCCAAGGAUGUUUUCAUUAAUCAGUGAACGAAAGUUAGGGGAUCGAAGACGAUCAGAUACCGUCGUAGUCUUAACCAUAAACUAUGCCGACUAGGGAUCGGGCGAUGUUAUCUUUUUGACUCGCUCGGCACCUUACGAGAAAUCAAAGUUUUUGGGUUCUGGGGGGAGUAUGGUCGCAAGGCUGAAACUUAAAGAAAUUGACGGAAGGGCACCACCAGGAGUGGAGCCUGCGGCUUAAUUUGACUCAACACGGGGAAAC
RNAcentral lists this ribosomal RNA (284 nucleotides) under uncultured fungus. RNAcentral describes it as "partial 18S ribosomal RNA". It matches the Rfam family "Eukaryotic small subunit ribosomal RNA", at positions 932 to 1214 of the family's 1831-position model. The record is from RNAcentral. Lineage: Eukaryota; Fungi.